This 87-nucleotide microRNA precursor is filed under the name Xenopus tropicalis (tropical clawed frog). RNAcentral describes it as "microRNA xtr-mir-202 precursor (xtr-mir-202-2)". Its record names the gene xtr-mir-202-2. The stretch from base 5 to 80 matches the Rfam family "mir-202 microRNA precursor family". The record is from miRBase by way of RNAcentral. Lineage: Eukaryota; Metazoa; Chordata; Amphibia; Anura; Pipidae.
CUCGCUGUUCCUUUUUCCUAUGCAUAUACCUCUUUGAAAAAUAAAUGUAAAGGGGCAUAGGGCAUGGGAAAAUGGCGCAGCUGAGCC